This 1450-nucleotide ribosomal RNA is filed under the name Salmonella enterica. RNAcentral describes it as "partial 23S ribosomal RNA". It matches the Rfam family "Bacterial large subunit ribosomal RNA", at positions 711 to 2141 of the family's 2925-position model. The record is from RNAcentral. RNAcentral also lists the same sequence under 1 other name. Lineage: Bacteria; Pseudomonadati; Pseudomonadota; Gammaproteobacteria; Enterobacterales; Enterobacteriaceae.
AGACCCGAAACCCGGUGAUCUAGCCAUGGGCAGGUUGAAGGUUGGGUAACACUAACUGGAGGACCGAACCGACUAAUGUUGAAAAAUUAGCGGAUGACCUGUGGCUGGGGGUGAAAGGCCAAUCAAACCGGGAGAUAGCUGGUUCUCCCCGAAAGCUAUUUAGGUAGCGCCUCGUGAAUUCAUCUCCGGGGGUAGAGCACUGUUUCGGCUAGGGGGCCAUCCCGGCUUACCAACCCGAUGCAAACUGCGAAUACCGGAGAAUGUUAUCACGGGAGACACACGGCGGGUGCUAACGUCCGUCGUGAAGAGGGAAACAACCCAGACCGCCAGCUAAGGUCCCAAAGUCAUGGUUAAGUGGGAAACGAUGUGGGAAGGCCCAGACAGCCAGGAUGUUGGCUUAGAAGCAGCCAUCAUUUAAAGAAAGCGUAAUAGCUCACUGGUCGAGUCGGCCUGCGCGGAAGAUGUAACGGGGCUAAACCAUGCACCGAAGCUGCGGCAGCGACGCUGAUGCGUUGUUGGGUAGGGGAGCGUUCUGUAAGCCUGCGAAGGUGGCCUGUGAGGGUUGCUGGAGGUAUCAGAAGUGCGAAUGCUGACAUAAGUAACGAUAAAGCGGGUGAAAAGCCCGCUCGCCGGAAGACCAAGGGUUCCUGUCCAACGUUAAUCGGGGCAGGGUGAGUCGACCCCUAAGGCGAGGCCGAAAGGCGUAGUCGAUGGGAAACGGGUUAAUAUUCCCGUACUUGGUGUUACUGCGAAGGGGGGACGGAGAAGGCUAUGUUGGCCGGGCGACGGUUGUCCCGGUUUAAGCGUGUAGGUGUGUGUUCCAGGUAAAUCCGGUUCACUUUAACACUGAGGCGUGAUGACGAGGCACUACGGUGCUGAAGCAACAAAUGCCCUGCUUCCAGGAAAAGCCUCUAAGCAUCAGGUAACAUCAAAUCGUACCCCAAACCGACACAGGUGGUCAGGUAGAGAAUACCAAGGCGCUUGAGAGAACUCGGGUGAAGGAACUAGGCAAAAUGGUGCCGUAACUUCGGGAGAAGGCACGCUGACAUGUAGGUGAAGUGAUUUACUCACGGAGCUGAAGUCAGUCGAAGAUACCAGCUGGCUGCAACUGUUUAUUAAAAACACAGCACUGUGCAAACACGAAAGUGGACGUAUACGGUGUGACGCCUGCCCGGUGCCGGAAGGUUAAUUGAUGGGGUCAGCGCAAGCGAAGCUCCUGAUCGAAGCCCCGGUAAACGGCGGCCGUAACUAUAACGGUCCUAAGGUAGCGAAAUUCCUUGUCGGGUAAGUUCCGACCUGCACGAAUGGCGUAAUGAUGGCCAGGCUGUCUCCACCCGAGACUCAGUGAAAUUGAACUCGCUGUGAAGAUGCAGUGUACCCGCGGCAAGACGGAAAGACCCCGUGAACCUUUACUAUAGCUUGACACUGAACAUUGAGCCUUGAUGUGUAG